Molecule: long non-coding RNA, 536 nt
Filed under: Equus caballus (horse)
Lineage: Eukaryota; Metazoa; Chordata; Mammalia; Perissodactyla; Equidae
Description: lncRNA (ENSECAG00000046346.1)
Source: RNAcentral
CCUCAUUAACCUUCUCCAAAGAGCCAUCCGCCCCAGGGCUUCCCCACUGUCACCCAGUUAUACCAUCAUCACGGCGUGUGUCACUGUCUGAAAUGACCUUGUCCAUCUCCUGCUUUCUUGUUAACUGUUUGUCCCUAUCCCACCCCUCACAAUGAGAGCUCCGUCAGAGGGGCCAUCCUGGCUGUGCUGGAUGCCACACUGUGAACGCUGCCCAGCCCAUCGUAAGCGCUCAGGAGAGAGCUGAAGAAUGAGAGAAUGAAUAAGCACCUGCUGGAGCUGCUAGAGAAUUAAACGGGAUGAGGUCCUGGCCAAGCUUGCUGCGCUGACUCCCCCUCAAGCCUUAGAGAAUUUAGACUCCUUCUCCAAGGACACAAUGCUGGAGUCACAGAAUGACCUUAAUUCGUACCUGGUAUAGGAUUUCUGCAUCAAACUGCUCCUUUCCCCCAAGCUUCAGCCUCCCUGUGAAGACAUGGGGCUACUGAAAUUUUACCUUGCUACCUAUUCUCCAGUAUAGCUUUUCCAGCUUGGCCAACCCA